Molecule: small nuclear RNA, 109 nt
Organism: Nomascus leucogenys (northern white-cheeked gibbon)
Lineage: Eukaryota; Metazoa; Chordata; Mammalia; Primates; Hylobatidae
Source: Ensembl
GUACUCUCGCUUCAGCAGUACAUACAUUAAAAUUGGACUGAGACAGGGAAGGUUAGCACAGCCCCUGCGCAAGGAUGACGUGCAAACUUGUGAAGUUUUAAAAUCUAAU